CUUCCUGAAGAUCUGAACAGAACUGAAAGAUGAAAGACCAAGUUGCCAUCUGACCACCAUGCAUGCCUCUUUCUGACAAGCUCACAGUUUCUUCCCGUCUGAUUUAUUAUGCUCCUUGGCUUUGCGGCACAUCUCACAAACUCAUCGAGGUAGAAAUUCCCAAGGGUUGGCAUGUCCUGUGUGAUGUCCAACUUUACCACAACAGUGCGGGCUGGCUGGUUUACCUCGUGGCAGUGCCCUCGCCCAGAACGUGUUGGCGCCUUCAUGUCGUCUCGCAGCCGGGUCCCUUAUGGCCUUACAGCCUCAUAUUCAUGGCCAAACUGGAAAACUUGUGGUGGGUUGAACUGCACCAGCUCCAGAGUCUUGCUCACUUCCUGUAGAAGACACCAGCCGUGGGGUAUUGGCAUCUCAUCAGCUCUUCUGAGGGGACAAUGGUGCAGUCAACAGCAAGAUGGCAGAGUCCUGGUAGUCUCUGUAUCGGGUUGACCUCCUAUGAGCUUGCAGGGAAGAUGCGUUUGAAAUCCUUGAAUGAGCUCAUGCUAUUUUCUUGAAAUACACUGAGUUCUGGUAACGUCCUGGAGUGCAGGGUCCCUUCCUCAUGCUGGUUUCCCUUGUGCCUCCAGGAGCCCCUUGCAUGGAUUGGAGUAUCCUGGGUGUUGAGUUCAUUGUAGGGUCUUGGCUCAAAAUCCUAGACCAAGAGCCACUAAGAAAGGUCUCUGGAUACUUCUUGCUGAGUUCUGUUUCUUAUCCCCGGUACACGGAGGGGACGAAGGAGUCUGUUCCAAAGGACAGAAUGGGAAAUUCAAUUAAAAGUCUCAAAAUUCAAACCCAGGGGUACCUGGGUGGCUCAGUC
Molecule: long non-coding RNA, 853 nt
Organism: Suricata suricatta (meerkat)
Lineage: Eukaryota; Metazoa; Chordata; Mammalia; Carnivora; Herpestidae
Exons: 4
Source: RefSeq, a predicted model, not a curated record